RNAcentral lists this ribosomal RNA (1653 nucleotides) under Escherichia coli. RNAcentral describes it as "partial 23S ribosomal RNA". It matches the Rfam family "Bacterial large subunit ribosomal RNA", at positions 1294 to 2925 of the family's 2925-position model. Lineage: Bacteria; Pseudomonadati; Pseudomonadota; Gammaproteobacteria; Enterobacterales; Enterobacteriaceae. The record is from RNAcentral.
AUGCUGACAUAAGUAACGAUAAAGCGGGUGAAAAGCCCGCUCGCCGGAAGACCAAGGGUUCCUGUCCAACGUUAAUCGGGGCAGGGUGAGUCGACCCCUAAGGCGAGGCCGAAAGGCGUAGUCGAUGGGAAACAGGUUAAUAUUCCUGUACUUGGUGUUACUGCGAAGGGGGGACGGAGAAGGCUAUGUUGGCCGGGCGACGGUUGUCCCGGUUUAAGCGUGUAGGCUGGUUUUCCAGGCAAAUCCGGAAAAUCAAGGCUGAGGCGUGAUGACGAGGCACUACGGUGCUGAAGCGACAAAUGCCCUGCUUCCAGGAAAAGCCUCUAAGCAUCAGGUAACAUCAAAUCGUACCCCAAACCGACACAGGUGGUCAGGUAGAGAAUACCAAGGCGCUUGAGAGAACUCGGGUGAAGGAACUAGGCAAAAUGGUGCCGUAACUUCGGGAGAAGGCACGCUGAUAUGUAGGUGAAGCGACUUGCUCGUGGAGCUGAAAUCAGUCGAAGAUACCAGCUGGCUGCAACUGUUUAUUAAAAACACAGCACUGUGCAAACACGAAAGUGGACGUAUACGGUGUGACGCCUGCCCGGUGCCGGAAGGUUAAUUGAUGGGGUUAGCGGUAACGCGAAGCUCUUGAUCGAAGCCCCGGUAAACGGCGGCCGUAACUAUAACGGUCCUAAGGUAGCGAAAUUCCUUGUCGGGUAAGUUCCGACCUGCACGAAUGGCGUAAUGAUGGCCAGGCUGUCUCCACCCGAGACUCAGUGAAAUUGAACUCGCUGUGAAGAUGCAGUGUACCCGCGGCAAGACGGAAAGACCCCGUGAACCUUUACUAUAGCUUGACACUGAACAUUGAGCCUUGAUGUGUAGGAUAGGUGGGAGGCUUUGAAGUGUGGACGCCAGUCUGCAUGGAGCCGACCUUGAAAUACCACCCUUUAAUGUUUGAUGUUCUAACGUGGGCCCCUUACCGGGGUUGCGGACAGUGUCUGGUGGGUAGUUUGACUGGGGCGGUCUCCUCCUAAAGAGUAACGGAGGAGCACGAAGGUUGGCUAAUCCUGGUCGGACAUCAGGAGGUUAGUGCAAUGGCAUAAGCCAGCUUGACUGCGAGCGUGACGGCGCGAGCAGGUGCGAAAGCAGGUCAUAGUGAUCCGGUGGUUCUGAAUGGAAGGGCCAUCGCUCAACGGAUAAAAGGUACUCCGGGGAUAACAGGCUGAUACCGCCCAAGAGUUCAUAUCGACGGCGGUGUUUGGCACCUCGAUGUCGGCUCAUCACAUCCUGGGGCUGAAGUAGGUCCCAAGGGUAUGGCUGUUCGCCAUUUAAAGUGGUACGCGAGCUGGGUUUAGAACGUCGUGAGACAGUUCGGUCCCUAUCUGCCGUGGGCGCUGGAGAACUGAGGGGGGCUGCUCCUAGUACGAGAGGACCGGAGUGGACGCAUCACUGGUGUUCGGGUUGUCAUGCCAAUGGCACUGCCCGGUAGCUAAAUGCGGAAGAGAUAAGUGCUGAAAGCAUCUAAGCACGAAACUUGCCCCGAGAUGAGUUCUCCCUGACUCCUUGAGAGUCCUGAAGGAACGUUGAAGACGACGACGUUGAUAGGCCGGGUGUGUAAGCGCAGCGAUGCGUUGAGCUAACCGGUACUAAUGAACCGUGAGGCUUAACCUU